This 229-nucleotide ribosomal RNA is filed under the name Staphylococcus aureus. Its description in RNAcentral is "partial 16S ribosomal RNA". It matches the Rfam family "Bacterial small subunit ribosomal RNA", at positions 1306 to 1533 of the family's 1533-position model. Lineage: Bacteria; Bacillati; Bacillota; Bacilli; Caryophanales; Staphylococcaceae. The record is from RNAcentral.
UGCAACUCGACUACAUGAAGCUGGAAUCGCUAGUAAUCGUAGAUCAGCAUGCUACGGUGAAUACGUUCCCGGGUCUUGUACACACCGCCCGUCACACCACGAGAGUUUGUAACACCCGAAGCCGGUGGAGUAACCUUUUAGGAGCUAGCCGUCGAAGGUGGGACAAAUGAUUGGGGUGAAGUCGUAACAAGGUAGCCGUAUCGGAAGGUGCGGCUGGAUCACCUCCUUU